AGCAAAAUUGACAAAAGCUUUCGUGAGCUUCUGUUUGAGUCAAUUGAGUGUUUCUUCUUCAGCCGAUAGGCGAUAACCUCGCCGAUAGCCGUUCAGCCACCACCGCCGCUCUUGAGAUCCAUCGCCGAUCUCUGGCCUCCAUCACUCUUGAGAUCCACAGCCUUCAAUCGCUGGCCUCCGCCGCCGCAACACCACCAGUUCGUUCAGAUUUCAAGAGAAGCAAGUAGUUAGCAAGCGGGUGAACUGAAGCUAAAGCCUAAAUCUGGUAAUUUUUACAAUCUGAAGGCUAUUAUUGCUGAUUUGUUAUGCUAAAGUUGAUAUGUGGCUGGAAUUUUUUGAUUCAUUAUGCUGGGCCUUCGGGAUUGGAUUUUGCGGGUGUGAAACUAAUACGAAGGCCACAACUGUUGUGCUCUGUUCUCAGUUCUCUCCCUUUCUUUUAUGCACGUUUCUCCCUUUCCAGCUAACUGAAUCACCUAUAUGAAAGACAAAUGUAUCAGUUUGCAAAUUUAUUGUUGCCCGAAUAUGAUGCCUGUGAUUUUUCAAAAACUUUACUAUUAUGGCGUAUGUUAAAAACUUUCUACCAUUUUUACAUGGAUGAAAUGGAUGAGGAUUACAUGGAAGGGAUGAAAUGGAUGAGGAUUACUUUGAAUGGAAGAUGAUUUUGAGAGGACAGACAAGUAUGAUAAACCUCCAGGUCUUAUAAUUUAGCACCGCCAAUCAUAUGCACAUUUUAAGAGCUAGACCUUCUCACAAUUCUUGCCACAUUUUAAUGGCUCCGUGAUUUAGAGAUCAGGUGACUCUGGUUGAAAAAGAUCCGGUGGAUUAUGAUCCGGUGGAUAUAAAAAGAGGUCUUAUGAUCCGGUGGAUUAUGAAACUAUUGAUAAAGUUUAAUUUUGGGUAAUUGAUGAGGAACAAGAAGGAGAGCUUGAUUAUGAUGAGUUAGAAGAAAUGAUUGAAGAAGAAUUUCCCAAAACUAGCGAGAAUGAAGCCUCUCAAUCACAUAAGAAAGACACAAAUAUUGUGCAACUUGAUGAUGAGGAUGAUGUUGAUGAUAUCGACUUCGAAAGUUAUGAAAUUGGAGAUAAGGAUGAUGAAAAUGAAGAUGAAGAAUGGCUUAGAUAGUUCUUUGGAACAUGGUGUUUUAUUUAGAUUGAUAUUAUCAAGCAUUUGAACAUGAACUUGUUACCUUAUUUGGAUUGCUAUUUGUUAAUGAUUGAACAUAUAUGGGAUUUCUAUUUUAUAAAUUUGUGAGUUUGGAUGAAUUUGGU
Coffea arabica (coffee) is the source of this 1268-nucleotide long non-coding RNA. RefSeq lists it as uncharacterized. The record is from RefSeq and is a predicted model, not a curated record. NCBI's taxonomy places the organism in Eukaryota, Viridiplantae, Streptophyta, Magnoliopsida, Gentianales, Rubiaceae.